UAGGGAAUCUUAGACAAUGGGGGAAACCCUGAUCUAGCCAUGCCGCGUGUGUGAUGAAGGCCUUAGGGUCGUAAAGCACUUUCGCCAGAGAUGAUAAUGACAGUAUCUGGUAAAGAAACCCCGGCUAACUCCGUG
RNAcentral lists this ribosomal RNA (135 nucleotides) under uncultured marine bacterium. RNAcentral's name for it is "partial 16S ribosomal RNA". It matches the Rfam family "Bacterial small subunit ribosomal RNA", at positions 355 to 507 of the family's 1533-position model. The record is from RNAcentral.